GUAUUAGGGACAGAACAGUAAGAGUUUAAGGAAAAUUUGAUUAUGAGAACAAUGCAAAGGAAGAGUAAUGAAUGUCUACACUAAAAUAACAGAAGCUAAACCAAAGAAGGAAUAUGCACCAGAAAUGGUUGGAGUUUGGAGACUACAAUUUUUUUCACGAAAAUAUUAAAAAUGAAUUAAGA
Long non-coding RNA from Mytilus californianus (California mussel), 182 nucleotides. RefSeq lists it as uncharacterized. The transcript has 2 exons. The record is from RefSeq and is a predicted model, not a curated record. NCBI's taxonomy places the organism in Eukaryota, Metazoa, Mollusca, Bivalvia, Mytilida, Mytilidae.